AGAUUGAACGCUGGCGGCAUGCUUUACACAUGCAAGUCGAACGGCAGCACAAAAACAACCCUGGUGGCGAGUGGCGAACGGGUGAGUAAUGCAUCGGAACGUAUCCUUAAGUGGGGGAUAACGCAUCGAAAGAUGCGCUAAUACCGCAUAAUCUCUGAGGAGAAAAGCAGAAGAUCGCAAGGCCUUGCGUCUUUUGGAGCGGCCGAUGUCUGAUUAGCUAGUUGGUGAGGUAAAGGCUUACCAAGGCUUCGAUCAGUAGCUGGUCUGAGAAGACGACCAGCCACACUAGGACUGAGACACGGCCCAGACUCCGUACGGGAGGCAGCAGGUAGGGGAACUUUUGGAACGAAGUGGGGGCCGAACCC
This 365-nucleotide ribosomal RNA is filed under the name uncultured soil bacterium. Its description in RNAcentral is "bacterial SSU rRNA". It matches the Rfam family "Bacterial small subunit ribosomal RNA", at positions 26 to 383 of the family's 1533-position model. The record is from RNAcentral.